ACGCUCUUGUGUUUUCAAAGCUGCAAGUUUUCGUCACCACAGCCGAUAUCAAGCUGAGCCAACGCCAAUAUUCACAGAGCAAAACCUUCGUAAAGCACCUCAAACAAAGGUAAUAAAGUCUGCUGGAUCCACUCCUUCAUGGCAAUCGAUCAAAAUGGGAAUAAAUGCCUCAACUUCAACCUACCCGACAGAGAGAGUUGGAUAAGAAGAAUGACGUCCCACUUUUAUCUGGAAAUAUGAAGCAGACGUGAGCAGCUUGUCACUGUAGCUUAGCUUAACACAAAGAAUAACAGGGAGAAACAACGUGCCUGGUUCUGUCUAAUGGUGACAAAAUCUUCUUUUGUGGAAGCAUGCUGUACAACAAUGUAGCAGA
Long non-coding RNA from Etheostoma cragini (Arkansas darter), 373 nucleotides. RefSeq lists it as uncharacterized. The record is from RefSeq and is a predicted model, not a curated record. The transcript is spliced from 3 exons. Lineage: Eukaryota; Metazoa; Chordata; Actinopteri; Perciformes; Percidae.